CACUAACUGGAGGACCGAACCGACUAAUGUUGAAAAAUUAGCGGAUGACUUGUGGCUGGGGGUGAAAGGCCAAUCAAACCGGGAGAUAGCUGGUUCUCCCCGAAAGCUAUUUAGGUAGCGCCUCGUGAAUUCAUCUCCGGGGGUAGAGCACUGUUUCGGCAAGGGGGUCAUCCCGACUUACCAACCCGAUGCAAACUGCGAAUACCGGAGAAUGUUAUCACGGGAGACACACGGCGGGUGCUAACGUCCGUCGUGAAGAGGGAAACAACCCAGACCGCCAGCUAAGGUCCCAAAGUCAUGGUUAAGUGGGAAACGAUGUGGGAAGGCCCAGACAGCCAGGAUGUUGGCUUAGAAGCAGCCAUCAUUUAAAGAAAGCGUAAUAGCUCACUGGUCGAGUCGGCCUGCGCGGAAGAUGUAACGGGGCUAAACCAUGCACCGAAGCUGCGGCAGCGACACUAUGUGUUGUUGGGUAGGGGAGCGUUCUGUAAGCCUGUGAAGGUGUACUGUGAGGUAUGCUGGAGGUAUCAGAAGUGCGAAUGCUGACAUAAGUAACGAUAAAGCGGGUGAAAAGCCCGCUCGCCGGAAGACCAAGGGUUCCUGUCCAACGUUAAUCGGGGCAGGGUGAGUCGACCCCUAAGGCGAGGCCGAAAGGCGUAGUCGAUGGGAAACAGGUUAAUAUUCCUGUACUUGGUGUUACUGCGAAGGG
Molecule: ribosomal RNA, 706 nt
Filed under: Shigella boydii
Lineage: Bacteria; Pseudomonadati; Pseudomonadota; Gammaproteobacteria; Enterobacterales; Enterobacteriaceae
Description: partial 23S ribosomal RNA
Rfam family: Bacterial large subunit ribosomal RNA
Source: RNAcentral